Molecule: ribosomal RNA, 227 nt
Filed under: Clostridioides difficile
Lineage: Bacteria; Bacillati; Bacillota; Clostridia; Peptostreptococcales; Peptostreptococcaceae
Description: partial 23S ribosomal RNA
Rfam family: Bacterial large subunit ribosomal RNA
Source: RNAcentral
CGACUGUUUACCAAAAACAUAGGUUUCUGCUAAGUCGCAAGACGAUGUAUAGGAGCUGACGCCUGCCCGGUGCUGGAAGGUUAAGGGGAUCUGUUAGAGCAAUCGAAGCAGUGAACUUAAGCCCCAGGAAACGGCGGCCGUAACUAUAACGGUCCUAAGGUAGCGAAAUUCCUUGUCGGGUAAGUUCCGACCCGCACGAAAGGCGUAACGAUUUGGGCACUGUCUCA